UGAAACCUAUGUAAACGUUUU
RNAcentral lists this non-coding RNA (21 nucleotides) under Caenorhabditis elegans. Lineage: Eukaryota; Metazoa; Nematoda; Chromadorea; Rhabditida; Rhabditidae. The record is from RNAcentral.